Molecule: transfer RNA, 56 nt
Filed under: Schistocephalus solidus
Lineage: Eukaryota; Metazoa; Platyhelminthes; Cestoda; Diphyllobothriidea; Diphyllobothriidae
Rfam family: tRNA
About the family: Transfer RNA (tRNA) molecules are approximately 80 nucleotides in length. Their secondary structure includes four short double-helical elements and three loops (D, anti-codon, and T loops).
Source: Rfam by way of RNAcentral
GAACCCGUGGCUCAAUGGUAGAGCGUUUGACUGAAAUACCAAAGGUCGCGGGUUCG